UACGUAGGGUCCAAGCGUUAAUCGGAAUUACUGGGCGUAAAGCGUGCGCAGGCGGUCGUUCAAGUCGCGUGUGAAAGCCCCCGGCUCAACUGGGGAGGGUCACGCGAUACUGAUCGACUCGAAGGCAGGAGAGGGUAGUGGAAUUCCCGGUGUAGUGGUGAAAUGCGUAGAUAUCGGGAGGAACACCAGUGGCGAAGGCGACUACCUGGCCUGUUCUUGACGCUGAGGCGCGAAAGCUAGGGGAGCAAACGGG
RNAcentral lists this ribosomal RNA (253 nucleotides) under uncultured bacterium. RNAcentral describes it as "partial 16S ribosomal RNA". It matches the Rfam family "Bacterial small subunit ribosomal RNA", at positions 524 to 776 of the family's 1533-position model. The record is from RNAcentral.